ACCACUGACGUGUAUAGUAUAACUGGACUGCGGAUGUUCGAUGUGUUGUGAAGCAACGGCUGGGGGCGGGACAUGGGACGAUUUUUGGGCGGAAGAAGGAAGUAGAGCGCCUUUUUCCAUUGAUCUCUAUGGUGGACUUGAAGCCAUAUAGUUCCUAGGCAAUUCUUGCCGAGUCGGCCCUGUUUCGUUAAAACGGUAGUCUCCCCUCCCUCCCAAACAACCCAGAUAUUUUUUUCGGGCUGACCCUUUAUUUAAGAAAGCUAUUAAAAUAGUUUAAAUGACCAAUGAGCAUGGCUAUUUGGGUUGAUUGGCAGUUGCCAUUCUUUAGAAUUAUUGUUUUGAUUGACAGGCAGGCCGUUGUCAAGGAGAAGGGCGAGUCUCGCGGCGUCUCCAGGGGAAGCCCCCUCCCUCCCUGCUGCAUUACUUUCAACCAGCUCUGCUUUCAACAGCUUCAUUACUGCGAUGGGUUAUUUAAUUUUGGUACACUUUCCCCACAAAUAUGCGUUGUUGUACUUUUGGAUGUACUUCUCCGUACUCUGUAAGGACCUCUGCAGUUUUGGCAAACAACAAACCACACUUCACCUGGAAAACAGAGCCAGGACUCACUGUCAGAUGUCUGAAAAUGUACAGUAGGCUACACGCCAGCAGGUCUCACCAUAGUCAACAUCAUCAAGGAUUGUCACUCUGACCUGAGAAGAGGCCCCAUAGAGACACGGACAAGGACCAGCCACUGUUGCCAGUGCACAACUGAGGACCCGACCAGCCUGCUGCCAUCUAUGAUACUAUAUAGUACCCGCGGAGCGGUCUGAAGACGUGGAGUACACUGCAGCAGGUAUCACAUGACCAAGGACUUGGACAACGUCUCUGUUUACAUCUAUAGUGUAUUACACAACUGAAGAUGUGCACAGUACCCUACUGCCUGCAUCCUACCACCACAGAGGAUCCGAUAUGCAGAACCAGCUUCAAAAACCAUUGCAAUUAUGAAACACAGUUAAUAAAUGCUUAUAUACAGCAGCCCGCACAUUUUGUUUAAUUUGUAAUAUUGGUUAACACACUAUUGUAACAACUGUUUAGAUCGGUGUUUCCCAACCAGGGGUACAUGUACCACUAGGGGUACGUGAACACAAUGCAGGUGGUACAUGCAUUGGCAGGUAUCAAUAAAAAGAAAUGUAUGGAGCAUAAUCAUAUUGGGAUAGAGCAGUGGUUCCUAACCUAUGGGUCGGGACCCAACUUAUGGGUCGCCAAAGAUCCACAGUGGGUCGCGAAGCCCUCUUGAUUUUAAGGGGUUUCGUUUUAAUACCAUAUAGCCCAUGUUGAAUAUAUGACAAAGUAAAGCUUUUAAACUGAUAUAUGCAUAGAGGCAACAAAAUGUAAGCGACACAUUAAACAGUCAUUCUAUAUUUGACUGAAGACAAAUUGAGGAAUACAAUUUUCUAAUGAGUUUCCGCAUGACUCCCUCUCGCCUGGGACUCCCUCUCGCGUGGGCGCUGGCAUGAUUGGGUCACCAAAGCUUACAAUGGUAAAAAUAUGGGUCCCUGAAGAAAAAGGUUGGGAACCACUGGGAUAGAGGAAG
Long non-coding RNA from Engraulis encrasicolus (European anchovy), 1573 nucleotides. RefSeq lists it as uncharacterized. The transcript is spliced from 5 exons. The record is from RefSeq and is a predicted model, not a curated record. NCBI's taxonomy places the organism in Eukaryota, Metazoa, Chordata, Actinopteri, Clupeiformes, Engraulidae.